RNAcentral lists this ribosomal RNA (253 nucleotides) under uncultured bacterium. RNAcentral describes it as "partial 16S ribosomal RNA". It matches the Rfam family "Bacterial small subunit ribosomal RNA", at positions 524 to 776 of the family's 1533-position model. The record is from RNAcentral.
UACAGAGGGGGCGAGCGUUGUUCGGAAUUACUGGGCGUAAAGGGCGCGUAGGCGGCCUUCUAAGUCGAACGUGAAAUCCCCAGGCUCAACCUGGGAACUGCGUCUGAUACUGGUUGGCUUGAAUCCGGGAGAGGGAUGCAGAAUUCCAGGUGUAGCGGUGAAAUGCGUAGAUAUCUGGAGGAAUACCGGUGGCGAAGGCGGCAUCCUGGACCGGCAUUGACGCUGAGGAGCGAAAGCUAGGGGAGCAAACGGG